CCGGAUCUGACGUUUUUGCAUUUUUUUGCUCGGAAGUGCCACGGCGAUCUAGCAGUAUCUCAUCUAUCAAGGACUGUAUGGUUUAGCUUAAGGACUGUAUUUUAGUAUUUUAGUACUGGACAUUUCUUCGCUGACCUGCCCCUCCUGCUAAUUAAUUUAGCUACGUGUGUUCACUGCAACUGGAAAUGGAGGAAAUGGCAGCUCAAUCUCCACAUCAGCAACGUACUAAUGAGGAUGCUGGUCUGUGGGAUUUUCUUCGUAAGAGGGGUGUUCCUGAACAAAAUAUUGACCAAAUGCAACAAGACAGGAUUGAUACAUCAGUUGUCAGAGAACUAGAUGACACCUGCCUUGCACGCUACAUACCACUGUAUGGAGACAGGAUUGCUACAAGGCGGUACUGUCUGGACAAACA
This is a long non-coding RNA of Silurus meridionalis, 412 nucleotides long. RefSeq lists it as uncharacterized. The transcript is spliced from 3 exons. The record is from RefSeq and is a predicted model, not a curated record. NCBI's taxonomy places the organism in Eukaryota, Metazoa, Chordata, Actinopteri, Siluriformes, Siluridae.